RNAcentral lists this ribosomal RNA (426 nucleotides) under uncultured bacterium. RNAcentral describes it as "partial 16S ribosomal RNA". It matches the Rfam family "Bacterial small subunit ribosomal RNA", at positions 354 to 796 of the family's 1533-position model. The record is from RNAcentral.
GUGAGGAAUUUUCCGCAAUGGGCGAAAGCCUGACGGAGCAAUGCCGCGUGAAGGAUGAAGGCCUAUGGGUUGUAAACUUCUUUUCUUAGAGAAGAAUAUUGACGGUAUCUGAGGAAUAAGCAUCGGCUAACUCUGUGCCAGCAGCCGCGGUAAGACAGAGGAUGCAAGCGUUAUCCGGAAUGAUUGGGCGUAAAGCGUCUGUAGGUGGCUUCAAAAGUCUCCUGUCAAAGAUCAGGGCUUAACCCUGGGCCGGCAGGAGAAACUCUGAGGCUAGAGUUUGGUAGGGGCAGAGGGAAUUCCCGGUGGAGCAGUGAAAUGCGGAUAGAUCGGGAGGAACACCAAAGGCGAAAGCACUCUGCUGGGCCACAACUGACACUGAGAGACGAAAGCGAGGGGAGCAAAAGGGAUUAGAAACCCCUGUAGUCC